This 450-nucleotide ribosomal RNA is filed under the name uncultured bacterium. RNAcentral describes it as "bacterial SSU rRNA". It matches the Rfam family "Bacterial small subunit ribosomal RNA", at positions 64 to 507 of the family's 1533-position model. The record is from RNAcentral.
GAGCGGUAACAGGCGUAGCAAUACGUGCUGACGAGCGGCGAACGGGUGAGUAACGCUUCGGAAUCUGCCCAAUGGUGGGGAAUAACCAGCCGAAAGGUUGGCUAAUACCGCAUGAGCCCUACGGGGGAAAGCGGGGGAUCGUAAGACCUCGCGCCGAUGGAUGAGCCGAAGCCGGAUUAGCUAGUUGGUAGGGUAACGGCCUACCAAGGCGACGAUCCGUAGCUGGUCUGAGAGGACGACCAGCCACACUGGGACUGAGACACGGCCCAGACUCCUACGGGAGGCAGCAGUGGGGAAUAUUGGACAAUGGGGGAAACCCUGAUCCAGCGACGCCGCGUGUGUGAAGAAGGCCUGCGGGUUGUAAAGCACUUUUAGUGGGGAUGAAAAGCUCAGGGCUAACACCUCUGGGUCUUGACCUAACCCACAGAAAAAGCACCGGCUAACUCUGUG